GUCUACGGCCAUGCCACUCUGAUCGAGCCCAAUUCCGUCUGAUCUCGGAAGCUAAAUAGGGUCCAGCUUGAUUAGUACUUGGAUAGGAGACCACCUAGGAAGACCAGGUGCUGUAGGUG
RNAcentral lists this ribosomal RNA (119 nucleotides) under Pteropus alecto (black flying fox). Lineage: Eukaryota; Metazoa; Chordata; Mammalia; Chiroptera; Pteropodidae. The record is from RNAcentral.